RNAcentral lists this long non-coding RNA (244 nucleotides) under Homo sapiens (human). RNAcentral describes it as "non-protein coding lnc-TMEM33-2:1". The record is from RNAcentral. Lineage: Eukaryota; Metazoa; Chordata; Mammalia; Primates; Hominidae.
AAAAAGAACAUGCUCCUUUAGCUUGCAGGAGUUUUUUUUACCCAUCUGCUGAAACUUUCUUCUGUCAAUUCGUCAAACUCAUUCUCUGUCCAGCUAAUUUUUUUUUUUUUUUUUUGGUAGAGACGUGCUUUCAUCAGGUUGCCCAGGCUGGUCUUGAACUCCUUGGCUCAAGUGAUCUGCAAAGUGCUGGGACUACAGGCUUGAACCACAGUGCCCAGCUUAUUCCUGAACUUUUUAGAUUAUA